RNAcentral lists this ribosomal RNA (549 nucleotides) under uncultured bacterium. Its description in RNAcentral is "bacterial SSU rRNA". It matches the Rfam family "Bacterial small subunit ribosomal RNA", at positions 355 to 895 of the family's 1533-position model. The record is from RNAcentral.
UAGGGAAUCUUCCACAAUGGACGCAAGUCUGAUGGAGCAACGCCGCGUGAGUGAAGAAGGUCUUCGGAUCGUAAAACUCUGUUGUUAGAGAAGAACACGAGUGAGAGUAACUGUUCAUUCGAUGACGGUAUCUAACCAGCAAGUCACGGCUAACUACGUGCCAGCAGCCGCGGUAAUACGUAGGUGGCAAGCGUUGUCCGGAUUUAUUGGGCGUAAAGGGAACGCAGGCGGUCUUUUAAGUCUGAUGUGAAAGCCUUCGGCUUAACCGGAGUAGUGCAUUGGAAACUGGAAGACUUGAGUGCAGAAGAGGAGAGUGGAACUCCAUGUGUAGCGGUGAAAUGCGUAGAUAUAUGGAAGAACACCAGUGGCGAAAGCGGCUCUCUGGUCUGUAACUGACGCUGAGGUUCGAAAGCGUGGGUAGCGAACAGGAUUAGAUACCCUGGUAGUCCAUGCCGUAAACGAUGAGUGCUAGGUGUUGGAGGGUUUCCGCCCUUCAGUGCCGGAGCUAACGCAUUAAGCACUCCGCCUGGGGAGUACGACCGCAAGGUU